GAUGAACGCUAGCGGCAGGCUUAACACAUGCAAGUCGAGGGGCAGCGCGAUGUAGCAAUACAUUGGCGGCGACCGGCGCACGGGUGCGUAACACGUAUGGAAUCUGCCCUGUACUGGAAGAUAACCCGGCGAAAGUCGGACUAAUAUCCCAUAAUAGCCGAGGUGGCAUCACCUUGGUUUGAAAGCUCCGGCGGUACAGGAUGACCAUGCGCACGAUUAGCUAGCUGGUGAGGUAACGGCUCACCAAGGCUACGAUCGUUAGGGGGCCUGAGAGGGUUAUCCCCCACACUGGUACUGAGACACGGACCAGACUCCUACGGGAGGCAGCAGUGAGGAAUAUUGCGCAAUGGAGGCAACUCUGACGCAGCCAUGCCGCGUGCAGGAAGAAGGCGCUACGCGUUGUAAACUGCUUUUAUCCGGGAAGAAACCCCCAGGACGUGUCCUGGGUUGACGGUACCGGAGGAAUAAGCACCGGCUAACUUCGUGCCAG
RNAcentral lists this ribosomal RNA (490 nucleotides) under uncultured bacterium. RNAcentral's name for it is "bacterial SSU rRNA". It matches the Rfam family "Bacterial small subunit ribosomal RNA", at positions 28 to 511 of the family's 1533-position model. The record is from RNAcentral.